Molecule: transfer RNA, 71 nt
Filed under: Capra hircus (goat)
Lineage: Eukaryota; Metazoa; Chordata; Mammalia; Artiodactyla; Bovidae
Also listed under: 1 other name
Rfam family: tRNA
About the family: Transfer RNA (tRNA) molecules are approximately 80 nucleotides in length.
Source: Rfam by way of RNAcentral
UCUUGGUGGCUCAGAUGGUAAAGAAUCUGCCUGCAAUGUAGAAGACCCAGGUUCAAUCCCUGGGUCAGGAA